Molecule: ribosomal RNA, 295 nt
Filed under: uncultured Gemmata sp.
Lineage: Bacteria; Pseudomonadati; Planctomycetota; Planctomycetia; Gemmatales; Gemmataceae
Description: partial 16S ribosomal RNA
Rfam family: Bacterial small subunit ribosomal RNA
Source: RNAcentral
AGCUGAGUUUGAUCCUGGCUCAGAACGAACGUUGGCGGCGUGGAUUAGGCAUGCAAGUCGGGGGUGCCAGCAAUGGCAACCGGCGUAAGGGGCAGUAAGGCAUGGGUACCUACCCUGGGGUUCGGGAUAGCCAUCAGAGAUGGUGGGUAAUACCGGAUGACCUGGCGACAGCAAAGAUUUAUCGCCCUGGGAGGGGCCCAUGUGAUAUUAGCUAGUUGGCGGGGUAAUGGCCCACCAAGGCUUAGAUGUCUAGCGGGUGUGAGACGCACGACCCGUGCCACUCGCACUGACGACA